RNAcentral lists this ribosomal RNA (253 nucleotides) under uncultured bacterium. RNAcentral's name for it is "partial 16S ribosomal RNA". It matches the Rfam family "Bacterial small subunit ribosomal RNA", at positions 524 to 776 of the family's 1533-position model. The record is from RNAcentral.
UACGUAGGGUGCGAGCGUUAAUCGGAAUUACUGGGCGUAAAGCGUGCGCAGGCGGUUCGUUGUGUCGGCGGGGAAAGCCCCGGGCUUAACCUGGGAACGGCCGUUGAAACUGGCGAACUGGAGUGUGGCAGAGGGGGGUGGAAUUCCGCGUGUAGCAGUGAAAUGCGUAGAGAUGCGGAGGAACACCGAUGGCGAAGGCAGCCCCCUGGGCUAACACUGACGCUCAGGCACGAAAGCGUGGGGAGCAAACAGG